CACAAGCACAGGAGCUUUUCUGGGGGACACUGACAGAUUUCUGGCCUAAAGCAUCCAGGGACAUCACAGCUGUAGACUUCAUAGAUUUUUAACUUUAGCUUCAUAGAGGAGGUUUAUAGAGGAUUCUAGCAGAUUAUAAUUAAGAUUGAAUAAAACAUAACAAAUCAGCAAAAGCAUUCAUAAUAUUUUGAGUUUGUAGAUUUCUUUUAAAGGCAAGACAUGCUAAAGUCUCACUUGGAAAUAAAUGAACAUACAGCAGCUUCCCUUUAGUAGCUGCAGAAGGAGGAGGAGAACUGGAGGCUGGUGCAGUGAAUUUUUUUUCCCCUAUCAAUAUGCAGCUUUUUUUUUUUUUACAUGUGUACCAAAUUAAUGAGAUCCUUACACUCUUAGCUGAGGGCAGAUGGAUCUUGCAUUUAAAAAUAACUUGCUAAAGAUGGAUGUGAAAGCUCUGAGCAAAGACUGUAAGAUGAAAAUGUGAUUCUCUUAGGAAGGCAAGAGGCCAUUACAUGAUGAAAGAACCCAUGGCACUAAAUGGGAUGCAACAGCUGUUUCCAGUUGAGGAGCAUCUCAUGCCUGUUCCCAUGGGCUUUGCAUCCAGACAUUGCUGUUUCUGGUUCCUUCCCAGGUACCCUGACUCAUGGUACCGAGAUAUCACUUCCAACAAGAAGUUCUUUUCCCUCGCAGCCACAUACAGAGGCUCCAUCGUGGGGAUGAUAGUGGCAGAGAUCAAGAGCAGGACGAAGGUGCACAAAGAGGAUGGAGAUAUCCUAGCUUCCAAUUUUCCUGUGGACACUCAAGUUGCUUACAUCCUAAGUCUUGGAGUGGUGAAGGAGUUCAGAAAACAUGGAAUAGGUUCCCUCUUGCUUGAGAGUCUGAAAGAUCACAUCUCCACCACUGCCCAGGACCACUGCAAAGCCAUCUACCUGCACGUGCUCACCACCAACAACACAGCAAUAAACUUCUAUGAAAACAGAGACUUUAAACAGCACCACUAUCUCCCCUAUUACUAUUCCAUCCGAGGGGUCCUCAAAGAUGGCUUCACCUAUGUCCUCUACAUCAACGGUGGGCACCCACCCUGGACAAUCUUAUAUCCUUUCCCUGCUGAGCAGAGGCCAAACCCUGUUUUGAGUUAACAACAGCAAAGUGUGGGUAGAUGUGGGAACUGAAACCUGCUCAGAUGUGGGUUUAAUCUGAAGCCAGAAGAAGGAUGUUGUUGGAGUUAUUUGACAUAGGAUGGUUGGAGCAAGUUGGAUGCCAGUGAGAGCGAGUGCUGGUGUUAGACACAAGUGCCAGGUGUGCUUUGGCUUGUAGGGUGCAGGAUUUGGCCACACACGGCAGAGAAAUCCUUGGUCUUGCUUCCUGUGACCUGGGAUCCCCUGUGAGCCUGGGCUGGCCUGUAUCUCAGCAGGUUGCUCCCACACUGACUUAGGGGGUUUCUUUCAGGUCAAUGGAUCAUGGAGAAGAAACUCCAUCCUUCCUGGGUAUAGCUGAUCAGUUCCAACCUCCCUGGGCAGGUGAAUGGAUUGCUAUCCCCACUGUGGAGUGAGUGCAAAAGGAACUGGCCGCUGCUCAUAGGAGGUAUUUCCCACACAAGCUGGAGCUGCCAUUCCCAAAUUGCCAUGCUUUACAGCACAGAGCAGACCUGCUUUUGAUAGAAAGGUGGAGGCAAUGCAAGGAGCAGAUCUGACUGAGCUGAGGAGUUCCACUGUGUCAGGGGUCCCUGUGGGCAAGCACAUUGGCUCCACCCUAGCCAGUCUGAGCCCGUGCUCCAUUCCCCAGAGGAUAUACAGACAAGCCCAGAGCCUCCUCUGCAGCCUCCUG
This is an RNA transcript of Cinclus cinclus, 1821 nucleotides long. It is a transcript of the gene named N-alpha-acetyltransferase 60, NatF catalytic subunit, with no coding region annotated. Lineage: Eukaryota; Metazoa; Chordata; Aves; Passeriformes; Cinclidae. The transcript has 4 exons. The record is from RefSeq and is a predicted model, not a curated record.